UUAAGCGACUAAGCGUACACGGUGGAUGCCCUGGCAGUCAGAGGCGAUGAAGGACGUGCUAAUCUGCGAAAAGCGUCGGUAAGGUGAUAUGAACCGUUACAGCCGGCGAUGUCCGAAUGGGGAAACCCAGUGCAAUUCGUUGCACUAUCGUUAACUGAAUACAUAGGUUAACGAGGCGAACCGGGGGAACUGAAACAUCUAAGUACCCCGAGGAAAAGAAAUCAACCGAGAUUCCCCCAGUAGCGGCGAGCGAACGGGGAGCAGCCCAGAGUCUGAAUCAGCUUGUGUGUUAGUGGAACGGUCUGGAAAGUCCGACGGUACAGGGUGAUAGUCCCGUACACCAAAAUGCACAGGUUGUGAACUCGAAGAGUAGGGCGGGACACGUGGUAUCCUGUCUGAAUAUGGGGGGACCAUCCUCCAAGGCUAAAUACUCCUGACUGACCGAUAGUGAACCAGUACCGUGAGGGAAAGGCGAAAAGAACCCCGGCGAGGGGAGUGAAAAAGAACCUGAAACCGUGUACGUACAAGCAGUGGGAGCACCUUCGGGUGUGACUGCGUACCUUUUGUAUAAUGGGUCAGCGACUUAUAUUCUGUAGCAAGGUUAACCGUAUAGGGGAGCCGCAGGGAAACCGAGUCUUAACUGGGCGUUAAGUUGCAGGGUAUAGACCCGAAACCCGGUGAUCUAGCCAUGGGCAGGUUGAAGGUUGGGUAACACUAACUGGAGGACCGAACCGACUAAUGUUGAAAAAUUAGCGGAUGACUUGUGGCUGGGGGUGAAAGGCCAAUCAAACCGGGAGAUAGCUGGUUCUCCCCGAAAGCUAUUUAGGUAGCGCCUCGUGAACUCAUCUUCGGGGGUAGAGCACUGUUUCGGCUAGGGGGUCAUCCCGACUUACCAACCCGAUGCAAACUACGAAUACCGAAGAAUGUUAUCACGGGAGACACACGGCGGGUGCUAACGUCCGUCGUGAAGAGGGAAACAACCCAGACCGCCAGCUAAGGUCCCAAAGUCAUGGUUAAGUGGGAAACGAUGUGGGAAGGCACAGACAGCCAGGAUGUUGGCUUAGAAGCAGCCAUCAUUUAAAGAAAGCGUAAUAGCUCACUGGUCGAGUCGGCCUGCGCGGAAGAUGUAACGGGGCUAAACCAUGCACCGAAGCUGCGGCAGCGACACUAUGUGUUGUUGGGUAGGGGAGCGUUCUGUAAGCCUGCGAAGGUGUGCUGUGAGGCAUGCUGGAGGUAUCAGAAGUGCGAAUGCUGACAUAAGUAACGAUAAAGCGGGUGAAAAGCCCGCUCGCCGGAAGACCAAGGGUUCCUGUCCAACGUUAAUCGGGGCAGGGUGAGUCGACCCCUAAGGCGAGGCCGAAAGGCGUAGUCGAUGGGAAACAGGUUAAUAUUCCUGUACUUGGUGUUACUGCGAAGGGGGGACGGAGAAGGCUAUGUUAGCCGGGCGACGGUUGUCCCGGUUUAAGCAUGUAGGCUGAUUGUCCAGGCAAAUCCGGAUAAUCAAGGCUGAGGUGUGAUGACGAGGCACUACGGUGCUGAAGUAACAAAUGCCCUGCUUCCAGGAAAAGCCUCUAAGCAUCAGGUAACAUUAAAUCGUACCCCAAACCGACACAGGUGGUCAGGUAGAGAAUACCAAGGCGCUUGAGAGAACUCGGGUGAAGGAACUAGGCAAAAUGGUGCCGUAACUUCGGGAGAAGGCACGCUGGUGUGUAGGUGAAGUCCCUGCGGAUGGAGCUGAGACCAGUCGAAGAUACCAGCUGGCUGCAACUGUUUAUUAAAAACACAGCACUGUGCAAACACGAAAGUGGACGUAUACGGUGUGACGCCUGCCCGGUGCCGGAAGGUUAAUUGAUGGGGUUAUCCGUAAGGAGAAGCUCUUGAUCGAAGCCCCGGUAAACGGCGGCCGUAACUAUAACGGUCCUAAGGUAGCGAAAUUCCUUGUCGGGUAAGUUCCGACCUGCACGAAUGGCGUAAUGAUGGCCAGGCUGUCUCCACCCGAGACUCAGUGAAAUUGAACUCGCUGUGAAGAUGCAGUGUACCCGCGGCAAGACGGAAAGACCCCGUGAACCUUUACUAUAGCUUGACACUGAACAUUGAGCCUUGAUGUGUAGGAUAGGUGGGAGGCUUUGAAGCGUGGACGCCAGUCUGCGUGGAGCCAACCUUGAAAUACCACCCUUUAAUGUUUGAUGUUCUAACGUUGGCCCCUGACCGGGGUUGCGGACAGUGUCUGGUGGGUAGUUUGACUGGGGCGGUCUCCUCCCAAAGCGUAACGGAGGAGCACGAAGGUUAGCUAAUCCUGGUCGGACAUCAGGAGGUUAGUGCAAUGGCAUAAGCUAGCUUGACUGCGAGCGUGACGGCGCGAGCAGGUGCGAAAGCAGGUCAUAGUGAUCCGGUGGUUCUGAAUGGAAGGGCCAUCGCUCAACGGAUAAAAGGUACUCCGGGGAUAACAGGCUGAUACCGCCCAAGAGUUCAUAUCGACGGCGGUGUUUGGCACCUCGAUGUCGGCUCAUCACAUCCUGGGGCUGAAGUAGGUCCCAAGGGUAUGGCUGUUCGCCAUUUAAAGUGGUACGCGAGCUGGGUUUAGAACGUCGUGAGACAGUUCGGUCCCUAUCUGCCGUGGGCGCUGGAGAAUUGAGGGGGGCUGCUCCUAGUACGAGAGGACCGGAGUGGACGCAUCACUGGUGUUCGGGUUGUCAUGCCAAUGGCACUGCCCGGUAGCUAAAUGCGGAAGAGAUAAGUGCUGAAAGCAUCUAAGCACGAAACUUGCCCCGAGAUGAGUUCUCCCUGAGACUAUAAGUCUCCUGAAGGAACGUUAAAGACGAUGACGUUGAUAGGCCGGGUGUGUAAGCGCAGCGAUGCGUUGAGCUAACCGGUACUAAUGAACCGUGAGGCUUAACCUU
This 2900-nucleotide ribosomal RNA is filed under the name Klebsiella pneumoniae. RNAcentral describes it as "bacterial LSU rRNA". It matches the Rfam family "Bacterial large subunit ribosomal RNA". Lineage: Bacteria; Pseudomonadati; Pseudomonadota; Gammaproteobacteria; Enterobacterales; Enterobacteriaceae. The record is from RNAcentral.